RNAcentral lists this long non-coding RNA (275 nucleotides) under Setaria italica (foxtail millet). RNAcentral's name for it is "long non-coding RNA (SITA_LNC001234)". The record is from RNAcentral. Lineage: Eukaryota; Viridiplantae; Streptophyta; Magnoliopsida; Poales; Poaceae.
AGAACUCGAGACUACAAAAAAAAACAAGUCGAUAUUAACAACAAAUAUCACACAAGUCAAGCACUAGAACAUACCACUUCUAGCUCAUACCAGGCAUCAUACUGCCGAAGAGCUGCAGGGAUCACUGGUACUCCCUGGUAGUUCCUGAAGAACUUGGCCAGCAGCGCCUCUACAUCAUCAUCGGAUAUAUCCUCAUCAGACAUACGCGAUGGAUCAUUAAGACCUGUGUACUCACUCCUCGAGUGAGCACGUUUCUGAAGUGGCUGGACUCUUCU